This 818-nucleotide unclassified non-coding RNA is filed under the name Hevea brasiliensis (rubber tree). Lineage: Eukaryota; Viridiplantae; Streptophyta; Magnoliopsida; Malpighiales; Euphorbiaceae. The record is from RNAcentral.
AGUCUUGGACCCUCUCGGUGGGAAACAACUCAUCAGGUGUCACUUUCAAAUCUUUUGAGCGCAUCUCUUAACUCUUUUAUUUAAAAAAUAAUUAACAAGAUAGCCUUUAAAGGAAGCGAAAGCUCACUCGACCAAGCCAUAAUUCAAAUGGAUAAUCACUUGAACCACGGGCUUUAGUAUACAUAGCGAAGAUAUGGUAAAAAUGCCGAGAUCGCUUGUGAUCCAGCCUUGCCAGCACUCUAUAUCCUCCACCACCAAUUCGAAUUAAUAAGGAAAAUCUUUGAAAAGGAUAUUUUUCAUUAAUCGCCAUUAAUCCAAAUGGAUGGUGAAAAGACAUAAGGCAUCGAAUAGAUAUAGGACUUAAAUCUACAUAUCCUCGAUUAACCCUAAAGCGCUUGAUUAGGUCAAUGGCAAAUUCUUGGUAUGAUAUGAGUUGGGGCUCUUUGGUCUAGAUUUUUUCCUAGUCCUUGUUUCAAAAAAGGGAGUAUAAUAGCAGAAGGUUGUUAGACUGGCCUCUGAGUGGAAUAUUAAUAUUAUCCUUCAACCAUGUGUUGCAGACCAGUUACAGGUUGGUAAAACCUCACUCCUUACCGAAAAAAAAGCCUUCUUCGGGCUAUGAUCUAGCAUUCUUAGCUGCUAAGCCAACUGUAGAAAGUCAUGCCUCGGAUUGCUUUAUUUGGGCCGUUACCAGUAGUGUAGUCAAUUCAUAUGCUUAAAACAAAAACAUGGAAUCACGAAAUCCAAAUCUUUCUCUCCUAUCCCUUUACUAGACCACCUUGAAAAUGAAAAUCAAGCUAGAAAAAAUUCCUCGAAAAAAA